Molecule: RNA transcript, 1197 nt
Organism: Papaver somniferum (opium poppy)
Lineage: Eukaryota; Viridiplantae; Streptophyta; Magnoliopsida; Ranunculales; Papaveraceae
Gene name: glucose-1-phosphate adenylyltransferase large subunit 2, chloroplastic-like
Exons: 5
Source: RefSeq, a predicted model, not a curated record
UCCUCUACCCUCGAGUUCUUGGUCUUCCUUCCUUGCAUUCGUGAAACAUGGAACACGCAGGUUCUAUUUUUUUUUUCCAUGGGAAUGUUCACCAUGAUUUUGAGCUUUGGUUUAGUCCUCUGAUCGAUCAGAAUUGCCAAAAAAGUUAGUUCUCAAAUCAAUUGGUGCUGCAAAACUGAAAUUACGGAUUAUGCCAUGGUGAUCCUGAUUUUGAACUAAUUGCUAGGGACAUAUGCAUUGAUAAAGAACAGCUGGGAUUUGUUUAAAGAAGAGAUAAAUCAAUGAUUCAGUAAAGUUGAAGUUCACUUCAGGAAUGAAGGAGCAGCAGCAGCAAAAGAACAUGGUUGAAGAAUAUCAUCACGACAUGUUCCCUGUUGAGGAGCUUGAGGUUAUUUUCCCCGAUGACAAUCUCAAUGUCUAUACUAUGUUUUAUUGCAGAUCCAUAAAGUGCCAGUAUUAUAAAGAAACAUCAGAUCCAAAAACUGUAUCUUUAAUCGUUUUGGGUUGAGGGACUAGGACUCGCCUUUGCUGUUAAAUCUCAAUAGAUGGACAAAGAAACCUGUUGCAAGAAACUUAACUAAAAUUUGUUUUGAUUAUCAGAUUGAUUCCUGUUUAAGAUGCAUGCAAAUAAUUAUUUCUGGUUCAAUCAAUAGGUUUCUAUUGGAGGAUGCACCAGGAUGAUUGAUGUCCCAGUAAGUAAUCGUAUCAGCAGCGGCAUAAGAUAUACAAUAUAUCCUUACUUUGUUCAAUUAUAUCUUUCCUUUUGCUACACCACUAGCAAUUUCAGGAAUGAUGUGAAUUUUGAAGAUGGAUUUAUAGAGGUUCUGGCUACGACUCAGUUUUCUUCCUUCCUUCAAUUUGCUGGAAGGAAGCGGUCUGAGGAACAAUUGAUGUCGUGAGAGUUCACCUGGAUUUUGAGAUAGGUAUGCUUAAGGUUUCACGUAAUAGUGAUUAAUAUGUGUCAAAUUAGAAUACAAGUGUCUAUACAUAGUUACCUACUGAAGUUAAGUUGCUAUUACGGUCCUUGCUUUCUCGAAAUUAUUGGGAAAUUAUGAACAUAUUAGCGGGAUAUAAAAAAUUUAUUAGCUUUUGUUUGGAAUGUAAUUAUUUAGCUUAGUACAUGUACCAACUGAAUGUAAUCAUUGACGAACCAAUUAUAAAGCUUACAAUCCAAAUUGUAACCUUCGAGUUUUUUCU